GGCGCUGUAGCUUAGUGGGUAAAGCUGCCGCCUGCAAUGCGGCAUCCCAUUUGGGCACUUGUUUGGAUCCCGGCUGCUCCA
This 81-nucleotide transfer RNA is filed under the name Oryctolagus cuniculus (rabbit). It matches the Rfam family "tRNA". From Rfam's summary of the family: Transfer RNA (tRNA) molecules are approximately 80 nucleotides in length. Lineage: Eukaryota; Metazoa; Chordata; Mammalia; Lagomorpha; Leporidae. The record is from Rfam by way of RNAcentral.